Molecule: long non-coding RNA, 4262 nt
Organism: Oreochromis aureus
Lineage: Eukaryota; Metazoa; Chordata; Actinopteri; Cichliformes; Cichlidae
Source: Ensembl
CAAUUUAGGAGCCGAUGCUACAACCAAAGAGCACACAGGAGUUUAAAGUCCUUUUUCACAUUCAAUACAGACGAGGAUUUUGUGUAUAGUGUUGAACAACGGUGAAAACUUACUCAGAGAACCAAAUGCAAUCCAGGAUGUUGCCCCAACUUUGCCGACUCAUCUUUAAACCUCAGUUGUGUUCUUGUAUUUUACACCACACUGUGAUCCUACUCAUUCUGACAGAUAGUGCGACAGUGACUAAUGUCAAAAGUGGCAUAGAGGAUCCACCUGAUGGAAGGAAUGGUACAGACUUUGCUGAAAAAUUUUACAUCCUCAAUGUGGCGGAUGUUACUUUUAGUGGCUUUGUUGUUGUCGCUUUGUUUUCCGGAGGUAUCGCUUUUUUCUGUAAAUGCAAAAAGCCAAAACUCGCUAAGCUGCAGGGACGAGCUCAGAAGAAACAGGAAGAGCUGAACGUAUUGUCAGAGCUCAACACUCAACUGUUGGAACUGAAGAGGGGAAAUCACCAAGUAAAGGAAGAAUUCAGACUGUUAGACGAGACAAUUAAAGAGCUGGCAGAGAACAAAGAGAAGCUUCAGCUGGUAGAGAUCAAAAUAGCACAGACAGAGAAAGAAAAAGAGACAGACAAAACAGAAAGAUACUUAGAGGAAAAACAAAGUCUCCUGACUGCUCAGCGUAAACUGGAAAAGAGAAAGGAAGAACUGGAGAAUCUACAACUGAAUAUGGAGAAACAGCUGCGGCAAUUAGAGGAUAUAAUAAGCACAAUGAGAGAAAGGAAGACAAAAGCAGAAUACGUUUUAGAGGUGAUUGACUUGAAGCUGGAGGAGGUAGAAUGUUAAAGUGAUACAACUCGUCUUGUCCUAGAGCAGUGAGAAAGAAAUAAUUUACUGCUACUUUACUGUUUACUACUAAUACCACUACAGUUGAUUUUAAACCAAGCAACAAACAUGUGAUUAAAGUGCAGAAUUUAACCUUGACUCAAAUCUUUUAGCAAAACCUUUUCACUGUUAUUCGUAUAUACAGUGUCUGAUUUUCAGGUGCUCAAAUGUGAUUGGACUGUUGAUAGUUGUAAAUGCAGGAUUGCUUCUAAUAAUUGGAAGAACUUCUUUUUAUUAGAGCAAUCUUUUAAAAUUGUUUACAGGUUAUCUAAACUAUAAAUAAACAGUACAUAAAAAAUAAAAACAAACAGUAAAGAAUAAAGUAACAAUAAAGUAAAGGUUGACAGUAAAGAAAAGACAAGAAUUUGCUAAAAAAGGGAAUUUUUUUUAGUGAAAGGCUUCCAAUUUGAUUGAUGGUGUUUUUGUUUUUGGGUUAUUCCUUAAAAAUUAUUAUCCCAAGGAUAUUGUCAUGAGAAGAAUCAUGCUUCUUUGAAGUUCAUCUAUUAACUGUCCGUGUAAACUCGAGAAUCUACCACUGAACUUGGAGAAACAACAGCAGUAAACAGAGGAUAUAAUGAGCAUGAUGACAGAAAGGAAGACAAAAGUAGCACCAAAAAAGUGAUUAACUUGCAACUACAGGUGGUAGAAAGCCAAAGUGAUAUGAUUCAUCUUCACACAGACUAUGGAGAAAGAAAUAAUACACAAUCUGCACUGAACCUGUGUUACUUAAUGAUUAACUUUAUUAUGUGAACUAUGUAUCUUAAACAAUGAGUUGAAUAUAAGUAUCAUCUACACAAAAUUGAUACAUUUGAUUCACUUUAUUAUAAAUUGUAUUCAUUUUGUUUAGUAAGAAAGGAGAAAAUGACUUAUCGCAAAUGUAUUUACAGAGAGAUUGACAGCAGGUUAAGGUAGAUGGGAAUGUACUAAUGCAUGAAAAGGCUGGGAGGCUGGGAGAAAAUAACGGGUAAUUUAAAAAGCCGAAGAAUUAAAAAAAUGAAAGUAAAAGAUGGAUGGAGGGAAGUUAAUGAAUCAUGAAGUGCAGAGGAUUAGUAAGGUGGACAUGAGGGCAGACUGUUCCCUGAAGAGGAUAGAGUAAAAGUUCAGUUAUUCCAGAUGACACACCCUGUGGAAAAUUUAUCAAAUAAAAAUUAGCCCAUAGCAGUGACCCAAUAAUUAUAAAAUAAAAAGAAGAAUGAUGAAAACUAUUUGGAUGUAAUUAUGACGUCCAUUUCUGUGUGCUGUCAUUGUCACUGUGUCGAGUGACCCAGCGUUUUGUGUUGUCUUAUUUUUUGAUGGUUUAUAAUUUAUGUUAAAUUCAUUUAGUUAUCUUAAACACAGGCAGUGAAGACACAAGGAGUAUCUAAUAAACAAUGAACUAUAACAGAGCAAACUAGGCAAAACAGACUGAGCUUAAGUCUUCCUCGCCCUCCAUUCUUUUCAGUAAUGUCUCUAGCUGUGUCCCAAUUUAGGGUCUGCCCCCUUGGAGGACCCGGCCUUCGUGAUCUACGUUGGCCUCACCUCCAAAGACCGAGAAGGCCGGAAGUGCGAGGCUGUGAAAUGGGACGGUCUAGCCUCUGUUGCAUUGCUCAGGUUGCCUAACAACUAUGAAACGUUUCAUACAGCAUUGUUUGACAGAAAUGAAGGAGAGCAUUUUUUUGUUCAUCUGUUUGCUUUUAUAUGAGCUUUGUUUGAUUUGAUAAGUAUCUGAGGCUGAGACCACAAGACUGUAAAAACAUGAACAAUAGAUAUUUAUAUUUCCUAUCACCUUAAAUCUUCACUCAAAGACAAGUAUAUUUUGUUCGUUUAAUAUGUUGGCAUUACUAAAUUUGGCUCAAUGCUUACAUAUAUGUGUAAAAAGCAAAUGUACGAGCUGUGAUAACUGUUUCUGAUAGAAUGAAGAUCAGACUGAUAUAUUAAAUAUUCCUUUAUUGGGUGAGAAAAUCAGAGCAUGUCAUAACUGCUUUAAGUCAUACAGAAUAGAUAUCAGAGCCUUAAACAGGCCGACUUCUGCUAAAUGGGUCAAACUGGGCUGAAAGUAUACAAACACAUAACAUCCUUAUAGAAUAUGAUGUAACACUAUAGAUCAACUUACCUCAGAAUAUAUAAAGCAUAUAAACAAUUACAGCAAUAUGAUGCAACAAACACAGCAGUACUACUAAUCCAAAAUACUCAAAGCUUCAUAGAACUGAAACAAACAUUUAUUUUUAGCUCCAUUCUGCUGCUGAUACAUACUUUAGGUUUCUGAAUAUUAAACUUGUUGCUGCCUUUCAUAGUGUGUAACUUGAAGGCCCUGAGUACUUUCUCCCACACUGAAAACACUGGAAUGAUCAAAUUAUCUGAACAUUACCUAAUAAGACUGAUUCAGGACAGACAAUUAGUUAUUCUAAACUUUCCUAGCAGUCCUUCACAAACAGGGAACAGUCUGUCUAUUCUCUCCAUCUGUCAGCUGCUGCUGGCUCUUCCUCCUCCUCUUCCUCACACACUGCUGAGUUUGUCCUGGUGGAUCAUCAGGGGUGCAAAGCCUCACAGAUGAUGUGCAGCAGUGGGUCCCUCAGUCUGUCCUCACUCUGGACACUUGCAGUUGUCACACAUGGAAUUCAAAUGUGUGAUAAGCUGCAGGAUUCAAACACAAGUGUAACUUAUAAAUACAUGUUCAUACUUUUAUUCCACAAUCAGAGAGAAAGAAACAGAGAGAGAGUGCAGGACAGACAGACAGGUGACAGUCUCAGGUGUAUACACUGCUACAAAACAACUGAGGUCUGAAUCUGAGGGCAGUUCCUGCAAUCACAGAGGUUCGUUCUCUGCUGAGAGCUCGGAACAAAGGUUUUAAAUCUGGCGAGGCAGCAGUUUACAGUCUAGCAAGGACAAACCUGUCACAGAGGUUAAAAGAAGCAAAGAGGCUGUACGCACAAAAAAUGGACCAAACUUUCUUGAAUCUUGAAAGUAAUAUUGAGUAUAACGUUGUCUUUAUAUCUAAAGAACACUGUGCUAGUAAUACUCUGUCUGUAUCCCAGGGCCUGGAAUUCUGUCUAAACUGAACACAGCCUGGUUUAAUUACCAGAGACUCAAUAAAUACCCCUUUUGUCAAACUGUAGCUCAAAGAAUUUCUUUGUUUCAUGUGAUCAUUCCUAACUUUUAUUUUGUCAAUGAGAAGGAUUACUGUUGCAAAAUGGACAUGUUUGAGACCAAACCACUGUGGUUACUGAAACCUAACCAAAAUAUUUUUUUUUAAAUCAAGAGUGAAAGUAAAAAGUGCAUAAGGUGAUUUUACAAAUAUCUGAAGUUUUAUUGAAGAAGUUGUAAACAAAUAAAUGCUGCUAUGUUCAUUUACCCAGUUUUAUUAUGAUUAAAGGUUAAUCCUGAUAAAGAGAGAGUGAAACUGCA